UGGCCCCAACCUCCCAUCCGUGUCUAUUGUACCCUGUUGCUUCGGCGGGCCCGCCGCUUGUCGGCCGCCGGGGGGGCGCCUCUGCCCCCCGGGCCCGUGCCCGCCGGAGACCCCAACACGAACACUGUCUGAAAGCGUGCAGUCUGAGUUGAUUGAAUGCAAUCAGUUAAAACUUUCAACAAUGGAUCUCUUGGUUCCGGCAUCGAUGAAGAACGCAGCGAAAUGCGAUAACUAAUGUGAAUUGCAGAAUUCAGUGAAUCAUCGAGUCUUUGAACGCACAUUGCGCCCCCUGGUAUUCCGGGGGGCAUGCCUGUCCGAGCGUCAUUGCUGCCCUCAAGCCCGGCUUGUGUGUUGGGUCGCCGUCCCCCUCUCCGGGGGGACCCGCCCGAAAGGCAGCGGCGGCACCGCGUCCGAUCCUCGAGCGUAUGGGGCUUUGUCACAUGCUCUGUAGGAUUGGCCGGCGCCUGCCGACGUUUUCCAACCAUUCUUUCCAGGUUGACCUCGGAUCAGGUAGCCAUACCCGCUCGAACCAAGCAUAUCAAAAG
Molecule: ribosomal RNA, 545 nt
Filed under: Aspergillus niger
Lineage: Eukaryota; Fungi; Ascomycota; Eurotiomycetes; Eurotiales; Aspergillaceae
Description: eukaryotic LSU rRNA
Rfam family: 5.8S ribosomal RNA (bases 171-324)
Source: RNAcentral